AUGCUCACUUCAGCAGCACAUGUACUAAAAUUGGAACAAUACAGAGAUUAGCAUGGCCCCUGUGUAAGGAUGCAACAAACGUUUUUUAUUUUAAAAAAAUAAAA
Molecule: small nuclear RNA, 104 nt
Organism: Physeter macrocephalus (sperm whale)
Lineage: Eukaryota; Metazoa; Chordata; Mammalia; Artiodactyla; Physeteridae
Source: Ensembl